AUGAAAGAGGAACUUCUUCAUCUUUAUGAAAAUAUACACCUUUUCAUGUUUCCUGGAAACCAUUUAUUUUCAUGUUCUGAGAUAUCGCUACAUUCAGAUAUUGAAGUUGAUCUUGUCUUUCCGGUGGCAGUCUAUACAAGUCCCAUCGAAGCACUUGGUAUUCUUGAAAAGAAAGCACAUGAUGUUGAUUUCGUCAUGGCAGCAGUGGACAUGGAAGAGUUGAAUGGCUUUCAGUUCCUGGAAGCUGCCAAAAAUAAGCAUAGAAACCUUCAAGUGAUCAGUAUGUUCACUAAUAAUUUGUCUCCAACUACAUGA
RNAcentral lists this ribosomal RNA (315 nucleotides) under Triticum aestivum (bread wheat). RNAcentral's name for it is "partial small subunit ribosomal RNA". Lineage: Eukaryota; Viridiplantae; Streptophyta; Magnoliopsida; Poales; Poaceae. The record is from RNAcentral.